This 433-nucleotide ribosomal RNA is filed under the name uncultured bacterium. RNAcentral's name for it is "partial 16S ribosomal RNA". It matches the Rfam family "Bacterial small subunit ribosomal RNA", at positions 29 to 507 of the family's 1533-position model. The record is from RNAcentral.
AACGAACGCUGGCGGCAUGCCUAACACAUGCAAGUCGAACGAGACCUUCGGGUCUAGUGGCGCACGGGUGCGUAACGCGUGGGAACCUGCCCUUAGGUUCGGAAUAACUCCCCGAAAGGGGUGCUAAUACCGGAUAAUGUCUUCGGACCAAAGAUUUAUCGCCUUUGGAUGGGCCCGCGUUGGAUUAGCUAGUUGGUAGGGUAAAAGCCUACCAAGGCGACGAUCCAUAGCUGGUCUGAGAGGAUGAUCAGCCACACUGGGACUGAGACACGGCCCAGACUCCUACGGGAAGCAGCAGUGGGGAAUAGUGGACAAUGGGCGAAAGCAUGAUCCAGCAAUGACGCGUGAGUGAUGAAGGCCUUAGGGUUGUAAAGCUCUUUUAACCGGGAUGAUAAUGACAGUACCGGGAGGAUAAGCUCCGGCUAACUCCGUG